GCUUAGAGAGGGGUCAAUGUCCUAUCAGCUAGUUGGUAGGGUAAUGGCCUACCAAGGCGAAGACGGGUAGCCGGCCUGAGAGGGUGGUCGGCCACCCUGGGACUGAGACACUGCCCAGACUCCUACGGGAGGCUGCAGUCGAGAAUCUUUCGCAAUGCCCGAAAGGGUGACGAAGCGACGCCGCGUGUGGGAAGAAGGCCUUCGGGUUGUAAACCACUGUCGGGAGUUAAGAAAUGUAAGGGUGCUAACAGUAUCCUUACUUGACUAAGGCUCCGGAGGAAGCCACGGCUAACUCUGUGCCAGCAGCCGCGGUAAUACAGAGGCGGCAAGCGUUGUUCGGAAUUAUUGGGCGUAAAGAGCACGUAGGCGGCCUUGUAAGUCAGUUGUGAAAGCCUUCUGCUUAACGGAAGAACAGCAUCUGAUACUGCAGGGCUAGAGUGCGGAAGGG
RNAcentral lists this ribosomal RNA (448 nucleotides) under uncultured Planctomycetota bacterium. Its description in RNAcentral is "bacterial SSU rRNA". It matches the Rfam family "Bacterial small subunit ribosomal RNA", at positions 217 to 656 of the family's 1533-position model. The record is from RNAcentral. Lineage: Bacteria; Pseudomonadati; Planctomycetota.